CAUUAGAUGACUGAAAGCAAGUAAUGGUCUCUUAAACCACAUAAUAACAGCCUGGCAACUGUUUCUAAUGA
RNAcentral lists this transfer RNA (71 nucleotides) under Hapsodrilus ignifer. RNAcentral's name for it is "tRNA-Lys". Lineage: Eukaryota; Metazoa; Arthropoda; Insecta; Coleoptera; Elateridae. The record is from RNAcentral.